AUGGAGAAAAAAACCCAAAUAUCUCAAAGAAGGCUUUCACUAAGCUUAAUUCAAACGUCUUCUUCUAGAAAUGAGACGAAGGAUUAAGGAUAGAUACAACAGACGGAAGGAAACGCGACCAGGAUUGUGGAAACAACUCGGCGAAGAUAUACUCCGAGCUGGCGCCCCACCCUGCCCGAUCCCAGGCUUUGGCGAGGCGUCUCUGUGGCCGGGCCCGAGGGACCAGGCGCCCCGAUGGCGAGGAGGAGGAGAAGAAGCAAGGCCGAGAAUCGGUCCCCAAGGGUCGCCCAGAGGACCCUCUCUCCGCUCCCUUCCAUUACUUUGCAUCGCGCGCCAAGCCCUCCGGAUUCCCGAAAAGGCCUGGCCAGGCGACGCUGCCUCUCCCUGACGGGCUGUCACAUUCACCUCCAAGAAAGUGGGAAUCUCCGACGACGCGUGUGUCUGUGGAUUGCUCAGGCGCCCCCUGGAACGGGUGGGACCGGGAGCGCAACCGCAUUGAAGUAAAAACUGAGUUGUUUGUUUUUCCCCUUCUCCCGCGCUAUCUAGGCGAGGGAAGUCUUGGUGUCAGGGCUACGGGAACAUCCUGGUUUGAGGAAGGAAAAGCGCGACUGAUCUUUCACCGUGGAACCCCCUCUCCCCACAAAGCCAUACACAGUCCCGCACGUUUGGGUCCAGAAAUACUUCUCAUUUAUUGGCUGUUGUUUUGAGACGGGAUUACUGAGACAUCAUUUUACCCCUCUUUCCUCAAACCCCAUGUCACAUCCACAUGUAAAGAAGUCCUAUAACACUUUAAUUGUAGUUCUGUGAGAGCAACACUCUUAACAGGCUAUGGUCCUCAGGAUUCUUUGGGGGAAGCCAUCAUUGUUUAAAGUGGGGCAAACAUAUGAUGAGCGUGUGACUCCAGUCUGUUCCGUACAUUUCCCAUUCGGUAUGUCCUGCCCCCCCCCGUUGAUGUCAGGCAGCAUCUGUGGAACUCUCUGCCUCAUUGACAUCUGCUGCCCUACAAUCCUAACCCCUAUUUUGCCGUCUACUGAAGACCAGAGCUGAAACUGUAGAUUUCCUCCCACCCCGCCGCCCCCAGACUUUAUCUCUCAGAGCCCACAAGACAUGAAAAUGUUGACAUCUGUUUAUUCCCACCUUUUGGUAGGGGUGUACGAAGGGGGGGGGGCAGGGGGCAGUCCGCCCUGGGUGCCACCCUGAUGGGGGUGACAAGAUGGUAUUCUGCCUCACCCCAGCUGUAGAGCGGCCAAGAGCAUGCACACAGCGUGUGUAUGGGCUGCUGUGCAUCCACUGUCUGUACGGGCGCCGCACAUGUGCAUUCUGUACAGUCGCCACACAUGCGCAGUUUGAGACCGCACUGACCUAUCUAUUCUGAAUGUUCUUAUGUGAUGCCAAUAAAGGUGACUUGACUUAACUUGACAUGCACAGUCUGUAUGGGCACCACACGGGUGCUGCCAGGUGGUUAGCCCUGCCCCUCGGCACCCUGCCUUUU
This 1492-nucleotide long non-coding RNA is filed under the name Podarcis muralis (Common wall lizard). RNAcentral's name for it is "lncRNA (ENSPMRG00000023814.1)". Lineage: Eukaryota; Metazoa; Chordata; Lepidosauria; Squamata; Lacertidae. The record is from RNAcentral.